GAUGAACGCUGGCGGCGUGCCUAAUACAUGCAAGUCGAGCGAACGGACGAGAAGCUUGCUUCUCUAAUGUUAGCGGCGGACGGGUGAGUAACACGUGGAUAACCUACCUAUAAGACUGGGAUAACUUCGGGAAACCGUAGCUAAUACCGGAUAAUAUUUUGAACCGCAUGGUUCAAAAGUGAAAGACGGUCUUGCUGUCACUUAUAGAUGGAUCCGCGCUGCAUUAGCUAGUUGGUAAGGUAACGGCUUACCAAGGCAACGAUGCAUAGCCGACCUGAGGGUGAUCGGCCACACUGGAACUGAGACACGGUCCAGACUCCUACGGGAGGCAGCAGUAGGGAAUCUUCCGCAAUGGGCGAAAGCCUGACGGAGCAACGCCGCGUGAGUGAUGAAGGUCUUCGGAUCGUAAAACUCUGUUAUUAGGGAAGAACAUAUGUGUAAGUAACUGUGCACAUCUUGACGGUACCUAAUCAGAAAGCCACGGCUAACUACGUG
This 495-nucleotide ribosomal RNA is filed under the name uncultured bacterium. Its description in RNAcentral is "partial 16S ribosomal RNA". It matches the Rfam family "Bacterial small subunit ribosomal RNA", at positions 28 to 507 of the family's 1533-position model. The record is from RNAcentral.